This is a small nuclear RNA of Mastomys coucha (southern multimammate mouse), 107 nucleotides long. NCBI's taxonomy places the organism in Eukaryota, Metazoa, Chordata, Mammalia, Rodentia, Muridae. The record is from RefSeq and is a predicted model, not a curated record.
GUGCUCACUUCGGCAGCACAUAUACUCAAAUUGGAACGAUAUAGAGACGAUUAGCAUGGCUCCUGUGCAAAGAUGACACGCAAAUUCAUGAAGCGUUCCAUAUUUAA